RNAcentral lists this ribosomal RNA (465 nucleotides) under uncultured bacterium. Its description in RNAcentral is "partial 16S ribosomal RNA". It matches the Rfam family "Bacterial small subunit ribosomal RNA", at positions 338 to 795 of the family's 1533-position model. The record is from RNAcentral.
CCUACGGGAGGCAGCAGUGGGGAAUAUUGCGCAAUGGGCGAAAGCCUGACGCAGCGACGCCGCGUGAGGGAUGAAGGUCUUCGGAUCGUAAACCUCUGUCAGCAAGGAAGUACGGUCACUGUGCUAAUCAGCAGUGAAUUGACGGUACCUGCAAAGGAAGCACCGGCUAACUCCGUGCCAGCAGCCGCGGUAAUACGGAGGGUGCGAGCGUUAAUCGGAAUUACUGGGCGUAAAGCGCUCGUAGGCGGUAUGUCAAGUCAAGGGUGAAAUCCCCGCGCUCAACGUGGGAACUGCCUUUGAAACUGGCAGACUGGAGUGUGUGAGAGGAUAGUGGAAUUCCAGGUGUAGGAGUGAAAUCCGUAGAUAUCUGGAGGAACAUCAGUGGCGAAGGCGACUAUCUGGCACAUAACUGACGCUGAGGAGCGAAAGCGUGGGUAGCAAACAGGAUUAGAUACCCGAGUAGUC